AGAAUAAAUGCUAUCGGUAUGCUUAACACAUGCAAGUUGAAUGUUUUUAAAACAUAGCGAACGGGUGAGUAACACGUGAAUUAUCUACCUUUUAAUUCGGAAUAAUUAGUUUUCUAAAAAUUCGGAAUAAAUAAAUUAAAGUUUUUUAACGUUAAAAGAUGAGUUUGCGCAAGAUUAUGGUAGUUGGUAGUUUAAAAGACUACAAAGCCUAUUAUCUUUAGCUGGUUUGAAAGAAUGAUCAGCCACAUUGGGACUGAGACACGGCCCAAACUUUUUUAAAGGCAGCAGUGGGGAAUUUUGGACAAUGAGCGAAAGCUUGAUCCAGCAAUACCGAGUGAGUGAUGAAGGCUAAUUAGGUUGUAAAGCUCUUUCAUUAAGGAGGAAAAUGACAGUACUUAAAAAAGAAGUUCCGGCUAAUACCCGUGCCAGCAGCCGCGGUAAUUCGGGAGGAGCGAGCAUUAUUCG
RNAcentral lists this ribosomal RNA (465 nucleotides) under Phytophthora infestans T30-4. RNAcentral describes it as "18S ribosomal RNA". It matches the Rfam family "Bacterial small subunit ribosomal RNA", at positions 26 to 547 of the family's 1533-position model. Lineage: Eukaryota; Oomycota; Peronosporomycetes; Peronosporales; Peronosporaceae. The record is from RNAcentral.